CUUAAUUUGAGGAUUUAAGGUUUAACCUGCCCACUGAGGAGUUAAAUGGCCGCGGUAUUUUGACCGUGCAAAGGUAGCAUAAUCAAUAGUUUUUUAAUUGAAAGCUGGAAUGAAAGGUUGGAUAAGAAAAUAACUGUCUCUAUUAAAAGAAAUAGAAUUUUAUUUUUAAGUAAAAAAGCUUAAAUUGUUUUAAAAGACGAGAAGACCCUAUAGAGUUUGAUAAUUGAUAGUUAAUAAUUUAUUGGAAUUUUUGACGUUAUUAGUUGAUAAUUAUUUGAUUGGGGUGAUUGGAAAAUUAGUUAAACUUUUUUUGUAUUAAAACAUUGAUUUAUGAAUAGGUGAUCCGUAUAAACGAUUGAAAGAUAAAAUUACCUUAGGGAUAACAGCGUAAUUAAUCUUGAGAGUUCAAAUUGAAAGAUUAGAUUGCGACCUCGAUGUUGGAUUAAAAUUAAAUUAUGGUGCAGAAGCUAUA
RNAcentral lists this ribosomal RNA (472 nucleotides) under Lasiorhynchites cavifrons. Its description in RNAcentral is "partial 16S ribosomal RNA". It matches the Rfam family "Bacterial large subunit ribosomal RNA", at positions 1832 to 2566 of the family's 2925-position model. The record is from RNAcentral. Lineage: Eukaryota; Metazoa; Arthropoda; Insecta; Coleoptera; Attelabidae.